This 70-nucleotide transfer RNA is filed under the name Blepharopsis mendica. Its description in RNAcentral is "tRNA-His". Lineage: Eukaryota; Metazoa; Arthropoda; Insecta; Mantodea; Empusidae. The record is from RNAcentral.
ACUUAAGUAGUUUAAUUAAAAAUUGUGAUUUGUGGUGUCAUAGAUAUAAAAUUUUAUUUUAUCUUAGGUU